AGUGAGUGAGCCCGGAAGAUUGAGCCGCAUAAGUGCCUUUUGGGACAUUAACACGCUAAUCGUGUGCUCUAGGAUUUGCCUGAAAGUGCAGGUUAAAAAACUUUCCUGUAGUCACCGAGCACCUUCCAAUAACGAUUCUUUCCUAUCGGUCAGAAAACCGCUCCAAAACGUGGUCCAGACAAGGCUAAAGGAAGGAGGCUCCCAACCGGUAUCUUGGAAGGUAAAGACGUCCAGAAAGGUCUACAAAAACGAGCUGCCAAGAAGACGGUGCGAACCCUGACACUUGCAAGGCCACGAAUCCAAUUCGACGGUAGGCGGAGGCAUCAGUCGGGAAUAAACGGGACAGAGCCACACAUCCACGUGUGGCUCUUUGUUGGUAUUUUCGUUUUUGGAUGCUGAACCAACAUCUACGUAUCCCAUUUGGCUCCUGGACUCAAACCGAAUUGCUGAGAAGAGAAGCGGUAGUCUUUAGAGGUCCCGGGUGGCGCCAGGG
Molecule: long non-coding RNA, 493 nt
Organism: Uranotaenia lowii
Lineage: Eukaryota; Metazoa; Arthropoda; Insecta; Diptera; Culicidae
Exons: 3
Source: RefSeq, a predicted model, not a curated record